ACUCCUACGGGAGGCAGCAGUGAGGAAUAUUGGACAAUGGGGGCAACCCUGAUCCAGCCAUGCCGCGUGCAGGAAGACUGCCCUAUGGGUUGUAAACUGCUUUUGUACAGGAAGAAACAUUCCCUCGUGAGGGAGCUUGACGGUACUGUAAGAAUAAGGAUCGGCUAACUCCGUGCCAGCAGCCGCGGUAAUACGGAGGAUCCAAGCGUUAUCCGGAAUCAUUGGGUUUAAAGGGUCCGUAGGUGGACGAUUAAGUCAGGGGUGAAAGUCUGCAUCUCAACUGUCGAACUGCCAUUGAUACUGUAGAACUUGAAUUAUUGUGAAGUAACUAGAAUAUGUAGUGUAGCGGUGAAAUGCUUAGAGAUUACAUGGAAUACCAAUUGCGAAGGCAGGUUACUAACAAUAUAUUGACGCUGAUGGACGAAAGCGUGGGUAGCGAACAGGAUUAGAUACCCUGGUAGGAUAGCGU
This 469-nucleotide ribosomal RNA is filed under the name uncultured bacterium. RNAcentral's name for it is "bacterial SSU rRNA". It matches the Rfam family "Bacterial small subunit ribosomal RNA", at positions 335 to 800 of the family's 1533-position model. The record is from RNAcentral.